GAACUUCGGCAGAACAUAUACUAAAAUUGGAACGAUACAGAGAAGAUUAGCAUGGCUGGAUGACACAAGGAUGACACGCACAUUCGUGAAGCGUUCCAUAUUUUU
Small nuclear RNA from Thamnophis elegans (Western terrestrial garter snake), 105 nucleotides. The record is from RefSeq and is a predicted model, not a curated record. Lineage: Eukaryota; Metazoa; Chordata; Lepidosauria; Squamata; Natricidae.